UCAGGCCUAACACAUGCAAGUCGAGCGGAAACGAGUUAUCUGAACCUUCGGGGGAUGAUAACGGCGUCGAGCGGCGGACGGGUGAGUAAUGCCUAGGAAAUUGCCCUGAUGUGGGGGAUAACCAUUGGAAACGAUGGCUAAUACCGCAUAAUGCCUACGGGCCAAAGAGGGGGACCUUCGGGCCUCUCGCGUCAGGAUAUGCCUAGGUGGGAUUAGCUAGUUGGUGAGGUAAGGGCUCACCAAGGCGACGAUCCCUAGCUGGUCUGAGAGGAUGAUCAGCCACACUGGAACUGAGACACGGUCCAGACUCCUACGGGAGGCAGCAGUGGGGAAUAUUGCACAAUGGGCGCAAGCCUGAUGCAGCCAUGCCGCGUGUGUGAAGAAGGCCUUCGGGUUGUAAAGCACUUUCAGUCGUGAGGAAGGUGGUGUAGUUAAUAGCUGCAUUAUUUGACGUUAGCGACAGAAGAAGCACCGGCUAACUCCGUGCCAGCAGCCGCGGUAAUACGGAGGGUGCGAGCGUUAAUCGGAAUUACUGGGCGUAAAGCGCAUGCAGGUGGUUUGUUAAGUCAGAUGUGAAAGCCCGGGGCUCAACCUCGGAAUAGCAUUUGAAACUGGCAGACUAGAGUACUGUAGAGGGGGGUAGAAUUUCA
This 650-nucleotide ribosomal RNA is filed under the name uncultured bacterium. RNAcentral's name for it is "bacterial SSU rRNA". It matches the Rfam family "Bacterial small subunit ribosomal RNA", at positions 42 to 671 of the family's 1533-position model. The record is from RNAcentral.